Molecule: non-coding RNA, 462 nt
Organism: Theobroma cacao (cacao)
Lineage: Eukaryota; Viridiplantae; Streptophyta; Magnoliopsida; Malvales; Malvaceae
Source: RefSeq, a predicted model, not a curated record
GUUUUUCGUUGAUUUUCAUGCCUCCGAGCUCAACAAGGUUCCAACGAGGCCUCACACCUCCAUAUGGAGCAUUAGCAGAAGUUGGAGUAGAUCCACAAGCAUUAAGAAAGACAUCGAAAUUCAUUCUCGUUGAAGCGAGAAACUCUCGGGUGCUGGGGAAUUUCACGGCUCAGGUUUUCACUGCAGCAAAAAUGCUUUCUCGCUGGAGCGAGAAACUCUCGGGUGGUUAGACUCAGAGACUGUUGGGACCUAAGUUGAGGCGUUCACGUGCAUUCACCCUUUUGUAGGUAUUUUGGCAUUCAGUAGCUGUACGCUCACCCAAGGUCACUCCGCUGGUCGUCAGAAGUCUUUUGUAUGUAUAUAUAUAUACUCGAUGUAAAUCGAUAAGAUUUAGGUUACAAACAAUAGAUGUAUAUUUGGAUUGAUGACGCCAUUAUGAGAUGGCAAUGAAUGAAUGACAAU